GAUGAAGAACGUAGCGAAAUGCGAUAACUAAUGUGAAUUGCAGAAUUCAGUGAAUCAUCGAGUCUUUGAACGCACAUUGCGCCCCCUGGUAUUCCGGGGGGCAUGCCUGUCCGAGCGUCAUUGCUGCCCUCAAGCACGGCUUGUGUGUUGGGCCCCGUCCCCGGUACCCCCGGGGACGGGCCCGAAAGGCAGCGGCGGCACCGCGUCCGGUCCUCGAGCGUAUGGGGCUUUGUCACCCGCUCCGCAGGCCCGGCCGGCGCCAGCCGACCAACCCAACCAUUUUCUACAGGUUGACCUCGGAUCAGGUAGGGAUACCCGCUGAACUUAAGCAUAUCAAUAAGCGGAGGA
RNAcentral lists this unclassified non-coding RNA (348 nucleotides) under soil metagenome. RNAcentral's name for it is "partial contains 5.8S ribosomal RNA, internal transcribed spacer 2, and large subunit ribosomal RNA". The stretch from base 1 to 120 matches the Rfam family "5.8S ribosomal RNA", at positions 35 to 154 of the family's 154-position model. The record is from RNAcentral.